RNAcentral lists this ribosomal RNA (870 nucleotides) under uncultured bacterium. Its description in RNAcentral is "bacterial SSU rRNA". It matches the Rfam family "Bacterial small subunit ribosomal RNA", at positions 524 to 1380 of the family's 1533-position model. The record is from RNAcentral.
UACGGAGGGUGCAAGCGUUAAUCGGAAUUACUGGGCGUAAAGCGCACGCAGGCGGUUUGUUAAGUCAGAUGUGAAAUCCCCGGGCUCAACCUGGGAACUGCAUCUGAUACUGGCAAGCUUGAGUCUCGUAGAGGGGGGUAGAAUUCCAGGUGUAGCGGUGAAAUGCGUAGAGAUCUGGAGGAAUACCGAUGGCGAAGGCAGCCAUCUGGCCUAAUACUGACGCUGAGGUACGAAAGCAUGGGGAACAAACAGGAUUAGAUACCCUGGUAGUCCAUGCCGUAAACGAUGUCUACUAGCCGUUGGGGCCUUUGAGGCUUUAGUGGCGCAACUAACGCGAUAAGUAGACCGCCUGGGGAGUACGGUCGCAAGACUAAAACUCAAAGGAAUUGACGGGGACCAGCACAAGCGGUGGAGCAUGUGGUUUAAUUCGAUGCAACGCGAAGAACCUUACCUGGGUUUGACAUGUUGGCAUAAGUCCUUGCCGAAAGGUGAGGACGGAUGUGGGGCAACUCACAUCGGUCAACACAGGUACUGCAUGGCUGUCGUCAGCUCGUGCCGUGAGGUGUCUGCUUAAGUGCGGUAACGAGCGCAACCCUUGCCCCUAGUUGCUACAUUAACGGUGGGCACUCUAGGGGGACUGCCGGCGACGAGUCGGAGGAAGGAGAGGAUGACGUCAAGUCCUCAUGGUCUUUAUGCCCAGGGCUACACACGUGCUACAAUGCGGAGUACAGAGGGUGGCAAACCUGUGAAGGGAAGCAAAUCCCAGAAAACUCCGCCCAGUUCAGAUUGCAGGCUGCAACUCGCCUGCAUGAAGCCGGAAUCGCUAGUAAUCGCGGAUCAGCCACGCCGCGGUGAAUACGUUCCCUGGUC